AGGGUCCUCUCAUGAUGUAAAACACGUUUUCCCCCAAUCGUGAAUCCAUGGGCAGCUGAAGGUCGAGAGAGUCGGUGUUCAACACCCAGAUUCCUUUGCUUGUUAUGGAGUAUGAGCCACCAAGGACCAGACCUUUUAAAACUGUAGAAUCAUCAUUCUGGGUAGUUGAUGUGGCUGGCGCUGGCUUUAAUUUCUCACGCAGAGCUUGGUAGCUUGAUCAGAUUCUAGAAGAUGAGUUGGUUGUAAAUCUUGAUCAGUAUAUGGAUUUCUGUAACUCAUGCUGCUUGGUUCAUGGUCCCUUCCCAACAGGAAAUGAGAGGUAUGGCCUU
Molecule: long non-coding RNA, 329 nt
Organism: Lolium rigidum
Lineage: Eukaryota; Viridiplantae; Streptophyta; Magnoliopsida; Poales; Poaceae
Exons: 4
Source: RefSeq, a predicted model, not a curated record